Scylla paramamosain (green mud crab) is the source of this 1600-nucleotide long non-coding RNA. RefSeq lists it as uncharacterized. The transcript is spliced from 5 exons. The record is from RefSeq and is a predicted model, not a curated record. Lineage: Eukaryota; Metazoa; Arthropoda; Malacostraca; Decapoda; Portunidae.
UACUCGCGAGCAUAUUAUACUGUCGGCUCUCGCGUGCACCCGCACACGACGGUCGGCAACACUCCAACAAACCGCCCCCUUCCCUUUCCUUCUGAACCGCGACGCCAAGAGCAACUAUGCCCAAAACGUUGAGAAAAGCACGUCUUCCUUGCCAGCUUACAAUGCGUGCUGAGAUACCACGGCUGAUUCCCUAAAUGUACAAGACAUAAGAGGUGACCAUUAGUUAAAAAGGCAAGCCGCUAAUACACAGCGCGACGCACACCCACCGCAGGGCAUGCUUCAAGGGAUGUAGUAAAAGCACGCUACGCCGCACAGCAAAUUCUAAAUACCAUAAUUGCAACCGUGGUCGCGAAAUUGUCUCCUCAAUGGCUGGCUGCCUAACCAAACACACCCAAGCACGCCCCGUCCUGCAGCUCCCGGUGUGCUAUCCACUACCACGCUAGAUGAAGGAAUCCAUAAACUUAGAGCGUGAUUCACUCGCUCAAAGCCGAGUCAUGACAUGAUUUUACUGGAAAGAGAACCUUGUUCAGCAAAGGACUGAAACUAAUGAGCAAAGCGUUUCACUUACGGUGGAGAGAUAUAUAAUAAAAAUCAACUUGUUUUGAUUCUUAAUUUGUCAUUUGAUUAUAAUGUUAUCAUCUCUUAUCUAACGAAAGUUAGAAAAAAUAAACUCUUUACUAAGAAAGAUCUUAUGAAUGCAAAGCUGACUUGAAAGGAUUAUCACGUUUCCCAUUUUCCUUACGAUUCUUUCCUAUUAUUGUAAUUUUCAUAAUUAUGUACGAUUUGUAUUAUAUAAAUUUUACCCUAAAGGAAAAACAAUAUCAGAUGUUUACCUGAAAAUGAAUGAACUCAUCAACCUGCUAGUUUGCAAACACAAAUCUAUGGACAUCACCCACAAAGUUUACAUAAGGUUUCUAAUAAAUGCAUUGGUAAUACAGAUGGCAGCACCUCACCUAGCAGCCCUGAGUGUAUUCUGAAACAGACUCACCAUGUCCACUCCCCCACACCCCUGCCACUCACACAUCUGAUACCCGACACACCAGGCACACUACCAUUAUUUUUGGAGUGAUUCACCAGAGAGCCACGCGCAGUUUCCACAGCCACCACCACUCCACCAAGAUCAGUCACCAUAUUGCCCUACUAUAACCUCCAUAGGAACUAUACAGAUCCGGUGUCUGGAUCUCUCACGGUCACAGAAGCUUUACUACAAAGGUCUGCAAGAUCAGAAGACUCAUCAUCCCAUGAGCGACACUGCUCUUGAAGGGAUGUGAGUGAUCAGAGAGUCCAGCAUCUGCACCAGCCACUUCAUGGACUCACGCCUUCCCUCAAGCGCUCUGGGAUCUGGUCCAGCUGAGAGGCCAUGGUGCCAAUGCGGGUCUGUAAGUCCAGCCACUGCACAGUGCACCUCUGGCAAUCUUCCAAUGCCAUUAAUGGAUACAUAAUGGAUGAAGUCAAAAACACAUGAAGAAACAACUAAGAGAAUAAGAAUACCAAAAUCAGGCAAAGUAUUAUAAAGGUUAAAGCUACUGGAAAGAUUGCACCGUAAGGAUUGCCUGUCACAUCCAGCUCACCUCAUGCCUUCGUCUGAUGGCUUCCACAU